Molecule: ribosomal RNA, 1486 nt
Filed under: metagenome
Description: bacterial SSU rRNA
Rfam family: Bacterial small subunit ribosomal RNA
Source: RNAcentral
AGAGUUUGAUCCUGGCUCAGGAUGAACGCUAGCUACAGGCUUAACACAUGCAAGUCGAGGGGCAGCAUGGUCUUAGCUUGCUAAGGCCGAUGGCGACCGGCGCACGGGUGAGUAACACGUAUCCAACCUGCCGUCUACUCUUGGACAGCCUUCUGAAAGGAAGAUUAAUACAAGAUGGCAUCAUGAGUCCGCAUGUUCACAUGAUUAAAGGUAUUCCGGUAGACGAUGGGGAUGCGUUCCAUUAGAUAGUAGGCGGGGUAACGGCCCACCUAGUCUUCGAUGGAUAGGGGUUCUGAGAGGAAGGUCCCCCACAUUGGAACUGAGACACGGUCCAAACUCCUACGGGAGGCAGCAGUGAGGAAUAUUGGUCAAUGGGCGAGAGCCUGAACCAGCCAAGUAGCGUGAAGGAUGACUGCCCUAUGGGUUGUAAACUUCUUUUAUAAAGGAAUAAAGUCGGGUAUGCAUACCCGUUUGCAUGUACUUUAUGAAUAAGGAUCGGCUAACUCCGUGCCAGCAGCCGCGGUAAUACGGAGGAUCCGAGCGUUAUCCGGAUUUAUUGGGUUUAAAGGGAGCGUAGAUGGAUGUUUAAGUCAGUUGUGAAAGUUUGCGGCUCAACCGUAAAAUUGCAGUUGAUACUGGAUAUCUUGAGUGCAGUUGAGGCAGGCGGAAUUCGUGGUGUAGCGGUGAAAUGCUUAGAUAUCACGAAGAACUCCGAUUGCGAAGGCAGCCUGCUAAGCUGCAACUGACAUUGAGGCUCGAAAGUGUGGGUAUCAAACAGGAUUAGAUACCCUGGUAGUCCACACGGUAAACGAUGAAUACUCGCUGUUUGCGAUAUACAGCAAGCGGCCAAGCGAAAGCGUUAAGUAUUCCACCUGGGGAGUACGCCGGCAACGGUGAAACUCAAAGGAAUUGACGGGGGCCCGCACAAGCGGAGGAACAUGUGGUUUAAUUCGAUGAUACGCGAGGAACCUUACCCGGGCUUAAAUUGCAGAUGAAUUACGGUGAAAGCCGUAAGCCGCAAGGCAUCUGUGAAGGUGCUGCAUGGUUGUCGUCAGCUCGUGCCGUGAGGUGUCGGCUUAAGUGCCAUAACGAGCGCAACCCUUGUUGUCAGUUACUAACAGGUUCUGCUGAGGACUCUGACAAGACUGCCAUCGUAAGAUGUGAGGAAGGUGGGGACGACGUCAAAUCAGCACGGCCCUUACGUCCGGCGCUACACACGUGUUACAAUGGGGGGUACAGAGGGCCGCUACCACGCGAGUGGAUGCCAAUCCCCAAAACCUCUCUCAGUUCGGACUGGAGUCUGCAACCCGACUCCACGAAGCUGGAUUCGCUAGUAAUCGCGCAUCAGCCACGGCGCGGUGAAUACGUUCCCGGGCCUUGUACACACCGCCCGUCAAGCCAUGGGAGCCGGGGGUACCUGAAGUGCGUAACCGCGAGGAGCGCCCUAGGGUAAAACUGGUGACUGGGGCUAAGUCGUAACAAGGUA